Molecule: long non-coding RNA, 1389 nt
Organism: Cyprinus carpio carpio
Lineage: Eukaryota; Metazoa; Chordata; Actinopteri; Cypriniformes; Cyprinidae
Source: Ensembl
AUGAUCGAGUGUUCAAUGUCAGUUGUUCUUUUGGGGUUUACUGUUAAAUUUAUCUGUUUGGGGCUAAAAGUUGCUUUAAUUAUACUUCAGUUCCCGCACAGCUAUGUCCACACAAGUAUGUUCAAUCCUGAAGAAGCAUUGAUGGAUGAGUUUGAUACAUAUGCAGUACCAUAUAGUGGACUAUUCUGUCUCUCAACAUUCACCUUCACACAGGAUGUAGCUGAAGCUGAAGGUAAUGAUGAGCACCUGGAGGUUUUGGGACAGCAGCGUGUGACCGCCAGCCCCACCGCCACGGGAGAGCACGGACCCACACUGAACUAGCAGCACCUCACAGACAAGACGCCGAGCACCGAACACCCAAACCACCUCACCGCACCAACGGUUCUUUUAAUAAAACCCACCCUUCGGGGAACUUACCCUCAUCCUCGUGUCGUGUCCUACUUCACCCCGCCACAGAGGCAAAACAGAAAAUGUCCCUUUUUACAUAGCAUCUGACAGCUCUUUUCAAAAGUCAAUUUAGAAUCUAUGACUGUCCCGAGAUAUUUGCAGCUUUCUACACAAUCCACCACCUGGUCUUUAAUGAUCAUAGUGUCAUAACGUAAAGCACAAGUUCUAAAAUCUAUAAUCAUGUCAUUUGUUUGAGUUAUAUUUAACUACAAAUAAGAUUAAUCACACCAGGUGACAAACUCCUCAAUAAUAGGACCGUGUCCAUACUCAUUAUUGUGUAGCAAACUCACAAUAACUGUGUCAUCAGCAAAUUUCAAUAUAGUCAUAUUUGCAUGCUUACUUUGGCACAUAUUAGUAUACAAAAUAUAAAAUAAAGGUGAAAGAACACAACCCUGGGGUGAACCAGUGGACGGACAUAAUGGAUCUGAUAAAAUACCAUUUACUUUCACCCUCUGUGUUCUAUUUGUCAAGAAAUCCAGUAUCCAACCCACCAAACUGUUGCUCAGCUUAAAAUGCUCUAUCAAUCUCAUAGCUAAAAUGUGGGGUUGGAUAGUAUUAAAAGCUGAGAAAAAAAAACAGUUUAGCAUGAGUAUUUCUCCCUUCUAGAUGCUUAAACAAAUGUUUAAGUAAUGUAAUUGUAGCGUCCUCAACUCCUCUAUGUGCCCUAUAGGCAAACUGCAUAGGGUCAAGAGCUUGCUCAGUUUGCCUUACAAUCUCUGUCUUCACAAGCUUUUCAAAUGAUUUCAUUACAAGAGAAGUGAGGGCAAUUGGCCUGAGGUCAUUUAAAGCCUUGGGACUAUUAUUUUUUGGAGCCGGAAUAAUAACAGCCCGCUUCCACAAGUUAGGUAUAUUGUUGGGAUAAAGACAUAUUAAAAAUAUCAUAAAAGAUACAACUUAAUUGUUUUGCACAAUAUUUCAGUAAUUUGCCACAUAUAUUGUCUG